Molecule: ribosomal RNA, 340 nt
Filed under: Gymnopternus metallicus
Lineage: Eukaryota; Metazoa; Arthropoda; Insecta; Diptera; Dolichopodidae
Description: partial 12S ribosomal RNA
Source: RNAcentral
GAAUUGUAGAUAAUUAGAUCUAGAGUAGUAUUAGUUAAGAUCUUGAAACUCAAAAAAUUUGGCGGUAUUUUAGUCUAUUUAGAGGAACCUGUAGUAUAAUCGAUAAUCCACGAUGGACCUCACUUAAUUUUGUUUUUCAGUUUGUAUACCGCUGUUAUUUGAAAAUUUUAUAAGAAUAUUAAUUUUCAUAAUUUUUAAUUAAAAAAUAAAUCAGGUCAAGGUGCAGCUUAUGAUUAAGUAUUUAUGGGUUACAAUAAAUUUAUUUAUAUGAAUAAAGGCAUGAAAAUUGUUUUUUGAAAGCGGAUUUAAUAGUAAAUUUUUAAAGAUAAAAGAAUUGAUU